RNAcentral lists this long non-coding RNA (523 nucleotides) under Homo sapiens (human). RNAcentral describes it as "long non-coding RNA NONHSAT219404.1". The record is from RNAcentral. Lineage: Eukaryota; Metazoa; Chordata; Mammalia; Primates; Hominidae.
CCAGCGCUGGGGAGAGCUGUGCAGAAUAGGACUGGAGGUGGAAGUGUUGGAGAUUAACAGCCAGGUGGAGGGGACGGGGGAGGCCCUGGGUCAGUCCUCAGGGAACCCCCAUUGUGAAGGGGGAAAGGGAAACUCAGGCCCAGUCCUCAGGGGCCCCCAGUCUGAGAGGAAGGAGGACACACGAGCCAUAUUUGCAGAGAAACACCAGCCUGCGAGAGGAGGCAGUUUGGGGUUUCAGCAGGUGGCCCAGUGCUGAGACACAAGGGAGGUGUUUCUGGUCUGCAGACACUGAGGACGCUUGCUAUGUGGCGUGGUGGACGGUGGGUUCCCAUGUGUGCUCCCAGGGCCGGGAUGAGGUCAUGUUAGAAGUGGAUCUGGGGUCUUGGAUGAGGGCUUGACCCUGGGGACUGAGAGGUGGAGAAGACACAGUCCCAUCUGUCUCACGGCAGAGACAGGUUUGGGGGCACACGUGAAGGUUUGACAUAUAGUAAACACAUGUCAUGGUGGUUUGUUGUACAGAUUA